This is a long non-coding RNA of Folsomia candida, 885 nucleotides long. RefSeq lists it as uncharacterized. The record is from RefSeq and is a predicted model, not a curated record. Lineage: Eukaryota; Metazoa; Arthropoda; Collembola; Entomobryomorpha; Isotomidae. The transcript has 2 exons.
UUAAAAUCGUAGGUAUAAAAUCCGCAUAUUGGAGUUAAUCCGGUACAAAUAAAUCGAAACGAUUGCGAGAGACGCAUUAAAUUUUACAACUUUCUUGACUUUUCCACUUUGAGGUAAAUCUCGGAAAUAUCAUCUGAAUCCAAAUGAGCUUCAUCACUUUGCUACUUCUUCUUGGUACGCCCACCACCUUUGCGUCAGUGCUAGACGCUCAGCACGCACUUCGUAAUGCAGAACCGGUGACGUUCUCCUUCUAUGGAUCUAUUUUCCUGACAGGCCUGUCAUCCACGGGUGUAAUACGUACUGAAUACAGUCAUGAGCGAAACGUUAACGAGACACGGUUCGCCUGGGUGUUUAAUUCUUCAGACGAGACGUUAACAAAAUAUGAGAAGAAGACUACUCCAGGAAAAUCAGUCUGCAUGACGGCGACGGGAAGGGGAUCCAACGUUGUCCUGAAACCCUGCAAUGCUACAGACCCACGUCAAAAAUGGCUUAUGCUACAGACAUCAACGGUAGCGAUGAACUGUAGAUUUUGCAACGAGGAGAUCUUCUCAUGUUUAGAGAGGCAUGAAGACAACUCAGUUACACUGGAAGAGUAUGAAGGGGGCGGUCAACAAUGGCUAGCCCGUACUUAUGGUGUGUAUAGUGAAUACUGAAGUGAUGCUACUUUGUAAAUAUAUUGAGAAUUGACAAGUUUGGAAAAGUGUUAGCCGUGUGAUAGUUGAAUUAUAUAUGUAAACACUUUAUAUUUACAUCCCACUUCGAAAUGCGAAUAGAUUAGAGAUUUGAAUUUAGCCUACAUACGAUUCGUUUAGUCAUGUGCUUGUAGUAUUAAAAUUGCUGGGUAAAGUGAAAUAAAACGCACGAUUCAUACACAUCUACAUGAGA